GACGAACGCUGGCGGCGUGCUUAACACAUGCAAGUCGAGCGGAAAGGCCUCUUCGGGGGUACUCGAGCGGCGAACGGGUGAGUAACACGUGAGUAACCUGCCCUCAACUUCGGGAUAAGCCUGGGAAACUGGGUCUAAUACCGGAUAUGACUACUUCGGGCAUCCGAUGGUGGUGGAAAGUUUUCGGUUGGGGAUGGGCUCGCGGCCUAUCAGCUUGUUGGUGGGGUAGUGGCCUACCAAGGCGACGACGGGUAGCCGGCCUGAGAGGCGACCGCCACACUGGACUGAGACACGGCCCAGACUCCUACGGGAGGCAGCAGUGGGAAGUAUUGCGCAAUGGACGAAAGUCUGACGCAGCGACGCCGCGUGGGGAUGAC
Molecule: ribosomal RNA, 377 nt
Filed under: uncultured bacterium
Lineage: Bacteria
Description: bacterial SSU rRNA
Rfam family: Bacterial small subunit ribosomal RNA
Source: RNAcentral